This 865-nucleotide unclassified non-coding RNA is filed under the name Hevea brasiliensis (rubber tree). Lineage: Eukaryota; Viridiplantae; Streptophyta; Magnoliopsida; Malpighiales; Euphorbiaceae. The record is from RNAcentral.
UUUUAAUUUUUUUUUUUUUUUGUUAUUAACCCUUUAUAAAAUAAGAGCAACAAAAAACAAGCACAGUUUCUAACAAAAGAUAACAAAUUUAAAAGAAAACAGCAAGCCAUGGGGAGAGUUAGGUGCAACGUCUCCUGUUGGGGGUGUGGGAUAGCCUAUGUGCCUUCCAUUCAUACCCUAUACUUUUUGGGAUUUUAUACUUUGAGUGCCUCAAAUUUUAUUUUAUUUUUUAUUUUCAUUUUUUAAAUUUGGUACCUAAAAUGAAAUAGAAAAUAAAAAGUAAAAUGUUUGUCAUAGAAUAUAUAUAUAUAUAUGAAAUUUGAAGAAAUACACAUGAUUUUGGUCAUGUCAAACAAGCUACACAUCGACUUCAUGAAAUUUUCUUGAGUGAUUGUUAAGGGUCAAAAUGGAAAAGACAAUGGGUUUAACAGUACAAGAAAAAAAAAAGUAAAUUGAUUUGUGUACUUUCAAAGCUUCCUACUACUUGAUUAUAAAUGCGAAACUUGAGAAACUGACCAAAAGCUAAAACCAACUGCUUCAAAAGACUGAUUAAGAUUUAAUAGCACAUGUCAUGUUUAUAGAAUCCCAGAGGUUGAAUUAGGCAGAAGAACAGUAAAAACUUUGAUCCACAUAAAUGCGCCGUCUGUGUUCUGUGUACCUUAAUGAUCAAGGACUCUUCAUCAAGGGAAUUUAAGAUGUUAUGGCAUAAUAAAAGUCUUCGGAAAAGAAAAAAAAAAAUGAAAUGCGUACAUCUUAGACACACAAAAUUAAGUACGAACAUUAAUGAAAUGAAUCCCAAGAAGUAGCAAUCAUUACCUGGUGCGAUGUAUCCAUAAGAACCAGCAAUUGCAUACAUACACUCUGA